This is a long non-coding RNA of Plodia interpunctella (Indianmeal moth), 380 nucleotides long. RefSeq lists it as uncharacterized. The record is from RefSeq and is a predicted model, not a curated record. Lineage: Eukaryota; Metazoa; Arthropoda; Insecta; Lepidoptera; Pyralidae. The transcript has 2 exons.
UAUAGAUUAAUAUGACGCUUUCAAUCUUUUGAAUACUGAAUAAAUAAAAUAAAAAAUUAAAUAGCUAAUAGGAAAAAUAAACAGUAAAUUACGAAAUGAGGUGGUGUAUAGUUGUAAUAGUUGUUUUUAAAGUGUUCAAUAAAAUAAUAUUCAAAUAUAAUUUUAUAUUUUCGUCCAACGAGAGGAAUUUUCCAUUAUAUCAGUUACAAGCGGUGUUUUAACAAUGAAGCAAUGUUGCGUGCAAUGUGCGAUCGGUGAAAAUUUUUAAAAAAUCUUGAAUAUUUUUCUGCUGAAAGGAAUAACAUUACAUAAUGUCAUGAAUUCAAUUAACUUUUUGUUGUGUUUUCUGUUCAGCGAAUAAUAUAUUUAAUAAUAAAUUA